This 308-nucleotide ribosomal RNA is filed under the name Poromera fordii. RNAcentral describes it as "partial 12S ribosomal RNA". It matches the Rfam family "Bacterial small subunit ribosomal RNA", at positions 869 to 1344 of the family's 1533-position model. Lineage: Eukaryota; Metazoa; Chordata; Lepidosauria; Squamata; Lacertidae. The record is from RNAcentral.
CCGCCAGAGGACUACUAAUGAAAGUUUAAAACUCAAAGGACUUGGCGGUGUCCCAUAUCGACCUAGAGGAGCCUGUCCUAUAAUCGACACCCCCCGUUCCACCCAACCUUAAUUAGCUUUUAUCAACCUAUAUACCGCCGUCGACAGCUUACCCCAUGAGGGUAAAACAGUAAGCAAAAUAACCUCUUCGUUAACACGUCAGGUCAAGGUGUAGUAUAUAUUAAGGCAGUGAUUGGCUACAUUUUUAAAAAUUAAAAAUACGGAAUACAACAUGAAACCUUGUAUGAAGGUGAAUUUAGUAGUAAAAU